This 5561-nucleotide long non-coding RNA is filed under the name Sus scrofa (pig). Its description in RNAcentral is "lncRNA (ENSSSCG00030035992.1)". Lineage: Eukaryota; Metazoa; Chordata; Mammalia; Artiodactyla; Suidae. The record is from RNAcentral.
CCGUGGCAUAUGGAGGUUCCCAGACCAGGGAUCGAAUCAGAGCUGCAGACGCCUGCCCAUGCCACAACCACAGCAAUGCUGGAUCCGAGCCGCAUCUGCAACCUACACCACAGUUAACAGCAAUGCCAGAUCCUUAACCCACUGGGCAAGGCCAGGGAUGGAACCCUCAUCUUCGUGGAUGAUAGUCGGGCUCAUUAACCAAUGAGCCAUGACGGGUACACCCCCAAAAUUUUUUCAUAUGCAAAGAUGCAAAGGAUAUGAACAGGCAAUUCACAAAGAAAUACACAUGUCAAUAACUCUACUAAAAGUUGCUUAACUUAGUAGAGUUAUUAAAAAUAGAAAAUGCAGAUCAAACUGAAAAAUAUUUUUUCAAAAUACCAUUUUUUAAUCUAUCGGAUUGGUAAAUUAAAAUACUUAAUAUCUACUGCUGAUGAAGCUCUAGGCAAACAAGAACUCAUAUAUUUUUGGUGGGAGUGUAAAUUACUAGUCUUUCUUUUUUCUACCCUCUAAUUCGGCAAGAACACUUCUAGAAAUUUAUCCUCCAGAAGCACAAACUGCAGCAUUUUUUAUAAUAGCAAAAAAAACCCAAUUUUAACUCUUGAGUUUUCACCUGCAUCACUAGACAAGAACUUCUCAAAUUCUCCUUGACUGGGGACAAUAUUGGUCUCAGACUCCAGGAUAAGGCUGGGAAUUUAUUGAUUCCAACUGGUGCCAUCUACCAAAUACAAAAAGCAAUAGCUGGAGUUCCCGUCGUGGCGCAUGGUUAACGAAUCCGACUAGGAACCAUGAGGUUGCAGGUUCAAUCCCUGGCCUUGCUCAGUGGGUUAAGGAUCCAGCGUUGCCGUGAGCUGUGGUGUAGGUCAAGACGCGGCUUGGAUCCCGUGUUGCUGUGGCUCUGGCGUAGGCCAGUGGCUACAGCUCCAAUUCGACCCCUAACCUGGGAACCUCCACAUGCCACAGGAGCGGCCCAAAAAAUGGCAAAAAGACAAAAAACAAAUAUAAAAAUAAAAUAAAUAAAUAAAUAAAUUUUUUCAAAAAACAUUACUUAAGGAGGAUCUAAAGCUUUCAGAUAGUUUUAGUUGGAAUUUAGUCUUUAAAGUUGUUAUCACACAAAAAGUAAUUAAGAACAGGUAAAAUAAAGUCACCUACUGAAGUCAAGCUGAAACAAAAAAGAACAGGUAAAAUAAAAAGUUUACUUCCAAAAAUUUUGUAAAAACAUGAUUUACAUUGUUUUAAAAUUUGUUAUGUAGUGAAUAUAAAUUUGCACUUGAACACGUUAUUUUUGUUUUUAUUACUAUCUGAAGAACCCUUCACAAUAAACAUACCAUACAAAUUUAGCAUUGGUUCAAGAUAACUCGCCAUGUAGUACUUACUUACCACCUACUUACUCAGCACUGUUAAUAGCAGAAUUUGUAAGUAUUAAGAUGCCUGCCCCGCCCCAGCCCUACCCUGUGAGCUUGAGCCCUGAGCCCACAGCAGCGGGGAUGACACGGUUCUUCAACUAGACCUGGUCAGAGAUUUCCUGUUAGAGUUCAGCCCAGCAACCCCACCCAAAAUGGUGCACUAGAGGCCCUGGGCCCUCCACCAAGGCUGCAAGAAUGCCACAGGCAGCCCAGUGUCCAUCUUCAUGUAUGAUGUGAAUCCCAGCAAUGAAAAGCAAACCCAGGUAGUCAAAGCUACCUUCAAGCACCUCAAACCUCUCCAGCAUUCCAACAUUCCGGCCUACAUGGAUGGGCUAGAGACAAAUGCCUCCUUUUAGUCAGAGACUAUGAAUCCGCUGGAAAUGUGCCUCAAGGCACAAGCGGAGGCUGAUGGCCUAAAGGGGCUAGAGCUUUCCUAGAAGCCAGAGAAAACUGUGUAAGCCCUCCACUUCCUGGACAAAGACUGCAGCUGCAUCCACAACAAUGUCUGCGUGGCCACUGUGUUUGUGGACCACAUUGUCAAGUGGAAGCUUGGGGGCCUGGACUACAUAUAUUUGUUAGGGAACUGUUGACUGAAACUGCCCACCAUGGCCAGGCAAUCUUAACUGCUUUCAUGAGUUGUCUCACAACAGGAGGCCCCCAUAAAGAAUAUGGUGCUGCCUGGAAAACUGGGAGGAUUUGGGAAGGGCCAAUAGAUGGGAGGAGACAACCAACCUCCCAGAAUACUUGGCACUGGCAUCCACCUUGGCUGAGAGGUGCACAUGCCACCAGGAAGGACCCUGAGUUAGACCAAGUAUGGGCCAAGCAAGACAACCUGCCAGAACCCAGAAACUAACCCCAUUCCCAUUAAACCUGAGGCUGCAAGCCACACAGCAGAGAGGUUCUCUUGGGUUCCCUUACCUUGCUGCUCUCCAACUGGACGCUCCUUCCCUAUAAAGUCUUUUGCUUUGUCAGCAUGUAUGUCCCCUUGGACGAUUCAUUUCCAAGUGUUAGAUAAGAGCCCACCCAUGGGCCCUGGAAGGGGUCCUCCUUCCUGCAACAUAUUCAGCCCAAAGCAAUGGUGGGGGACCUCCCCACAAGGGGUUCCCUGAGCUAUGACCCCCCAGAGUUGGGUGAUGUCACCAGAAGAACAGUCAGAGAAAAGUGGUCAAGUGACAUGUAGCACUUGGGCUGCCUCAUCUGGGAAGUCUUCAAUGGGCCCCUUUCGUGCAGCUGCCCUUCAUUUGGAAAGAUUCCCAAAUCACUGGAGUCCCAUUACAUUACAGUGAGCUGGUGGAAACCAACCCCAAGGUAUAUCCCAACCCAGCCCACUUCCCAAAGAACUGCCAGGUGCCCAGUGGCUUCAUGAGUUUCAUGGAGACCAACCUCUUCCUGGAAGGGACUCAGAUCAAAGAGCCAGCUGAGAAGCAAAAGUUCUUCCAAGAGCUGAGCAAGAGCCUAGACUUGUUCCCCAAGGAUUUCUGCCGGCACAAGGUGCUGCCCCAGUUGCUGACCACCUUCAAGUUUGACGAUGAGAGGACUGUUGUCCUCAAGCCCCUCUUGAAGGUGGGUAAGUACCUCAAAGCUGAGGUGUAUCAACAGAAGUUCAUCCCUAUAGUGGUCAAGAUGUUCUCAUCAAUCUACAGGGCCAUGCGCAUCCGUCUCUUACAGCAGAUGGAGCAGUUCAUUCAAUACCUGAUGAGCCAACAGUGAACACCCAGAUCUUUCCCCACAUACAUGACUUCCUGGACACCAACCCUGCAUUCAGGAGCACACAGUAAAGUCUAUGCUGCUCUUGGCCCUGAAGCUAAAUGAAGCCAAUCUCAAUGUGGAGCUGAUGAAGCACUUCACAAGGCUACAGGCCAAGGACAAAGAAGGCCCCAUCUGCUGCAACACUACCCUUUGCCUGAGCAAAAUCAGCUCCUAUCUCAGUGCCAUCACCAAACACUUCACCCUUUAGCCAGGCCAUGAAGGACCCAUUUAUACCAUCCCGGAUCGCAGGUGUUUUGGGCUUCACUGACACCUACAACCUCUAUUCGAUGAAGGUUAAAGCACAGAGAAGAUCCUGCCUGUCCCUGGCAGCCUCACUAUGGAUCGUGAGAAAUCUGCACAGGACCAGGUCUUCAAGGCCAUUCAAAGCUUCCUGUCCAGGAGUUCCCAUAGUGGUGUAGCAGAAACAAAUCCAACUAGUAACCAUGAGGUUGUGGGUACAAUCCCUGGCCUCCCUCAGUGGGUUAAGGAUCCUGCAUUGCCGUGAGCUAGGGUUGCAGACUUGGCUUGGAUCUGGCGUUGCUGUGAGCUGUGGUGUAGGCUGGCAGCUGUAGCUCCGAUUAGACCCCUAGCCUGGGAACCUCCAUAUGAGGUGAGUGCAGCCCUAAAAAAAAAAAAAGCUCCUGUCCAAACUGGAGUCUGUUUCAGAGGACCCCACCCAGCUGGCCCAAGUGGAAAAGGAUGUCCAUGCAGACUCCAGCCCUAGAAUGGGAAGUGAAUCAGCCAGCUGGACAGGCUGGGCUGUGGCAGGUCUCCUCACUCACCUUGAAGCUGAUCCAUGCACAUGCACAGCUGCCCCAGCCGAGACCAAUAUCCCCCAGUCACCCAUGCCUGAGGGACUUCCUGCCCCAGCCCCUACCCCUGCAAGACCCACAACCUUAGGUUGUUGGGAGACACUACAGGAGGGCAAGGACACAGAAGAGGACAAUAGUGCUGCCAAGAGAAGGGAUGACAAGACUGGAGCAGCUUGGAGCAGGAGGCCGAAUCUGCGCUGGCCCAGCAGGACAACUGAAGUUCUGGGGGCCAAGCCAGUCAGACUGGGCAGACCAGCAACCAUGGCUACAAAUCCCCAGAAUCAGACUGGAGCAGGUGGGAAGAUGAAGGCUUGUGGAAUCAGGGCUGGCAGGAGCCAAACCCCUGUGGAGACAACCCCUGAGGGCACAUGUGUAACUGGGGUAGACCAGAGCCUAUUGACAAAGGCGACCCCCUUAGCUACCCUAUCAGUACGCUAGGAGGUUGGUGCUCAGCUGAGACUAGACUCUUGGAAUUGAUGACAACUUGGAGCACCUAGAUAUUGAGAGCCAACAGGCGAAGACUGAGCUAGCACGGAAAAAGCGUGAGAACUCUCAGCAAAGAUGGAGGAUAAACGCACUGAGAAAAAGGCAGGUAAGGGCCCCAUGAAGCUGGGAACCAGGAAGGUAGACCGAACCAACAAGUGUGGGGCCUUCCCAGCCAUGCAGAACAGGCCCCAGAGAUUUAUUGCACAAACCACAAGAGCUGGCCAGCCUGACCAGGCACAUCUCAAGUGUACAUAACCAGAACUACAAUAAAUUCUAUUUAAUUUUUAAAAGAAAAGAAAGAAGUAUAAGACAAGGUUCCCAAUGUUAAGAAACUUACUAAUAGGGACAUGAACUGAAGAUAUGAAAAAACUAAGCAACCACAGAUAACAUUAAUGAAGUGUACAGACUGAUACUAUAGGAGUUCAGAGACAAGGAAAACAACAAAGACUGGGUGGAAUCAACAGAAAGACCCACAGAGUCCAACUGUAGGGAAAACACUUUCCUCACCCUGAGCUGACUUUUAAUGAAAAUAAAACUCUUCUGAGCAAUAAAGCAUCAAUUUUAAUCAUCAAUAAAAAUCACCUUACUAGACUACUUCAAUAAGUGAAACAGGUAUGGUCCUUGUCUCAAGUGUUUAUAAUAAAAGGAGAUACAGAACAAAUACCAAUUAAAAGAUUAUAGUUCAUCAUCAUAAUAAUACUUUUUUUUUUCUUUUGUCUUUUUAGGGCUGCACCCACAGCAUGUUGAGGUUCCCAGGCUAGGGGUCUAAUCAGAGCUACAUCUGCCAGCCAACACCACAGCCACAGUAACACAGGAUCUGAGCCGCGUCUGCGACCUACACCACAGCUCAUUGGCAACACCAGAUCCUUAACCCACUGAUUGAGGCCAGGGAUCAAACCCGAAACUUCAUGGUUCCUAGUCGGUUUCAUUUCCACUGCACCACGACUGGAACGCCCAAUAAUAAUUCUUUCUUGAUUUAGGUACUAGAUCAAAAGUAUCAUCAUUAUGUAAAAAUUCAUCAAGCUGUACAUUUAUGGUAUCUAUACUUUUCCAUAUGUAUGUUACACUAUAGUUAAAAGACAAAAAAAAAAAAAAAAAACCAAAAAAAAAA